Molecule: ribosomal RNA, 444 nt
Filed under: uncultured bacterium
Lineage: Bacteria
Description: bacterial SSU rRNA
Rfam family: Bacterial small subunit ribosomal RNA
Source: RNAcentral
GUAGGGAAUAUUGGGCAAUGGACGAGAGUCUGACCCAGCCAUGCCGCGUGCAGGAAGACGGCGUUCUGCGUUGUAAACUGCUUUUAUCUGGGAAGAAAAAGUCCAUGCGUGGAAAAUUGCCGGUACCAGAUGAAUAAGCACCGGCUAACUCCGUGCCAGCAGCCGCGGUAAUACGGAGGGUGCAAGCGUUGUCCGGAUUUAUUGGGUUUAAAGGGUGCGUAGGCGGCUAAUUAAGUCAGCGGUGAAAGUUUUGGGCUUAACCCAGAAAUUGCCAUUGAUACUGGUUAGCUUGAGUAUUGGAGGGGUACAUGGAAUUGAUGGUGUAGCGGUGAAAUGCAUAGAUACCAUCAGGAACACCGAUAGCGAAGGCAUUGUACUGGCCAAUAACUGACGCUGAUGCACGAAAGCAUGGGUAGCGAACAGGAUUAGAUACCCUAGUAGUCC